AAAAAUUUAGUUAAUAUAAUAACAUUAGUUUGUCAAACUAAAAUAAUUUUAUAAAAAAAUAAUUUUUA
This 68-nucleotide transfer RNA is filed under the name Onthophagus cervicapra. RNAcentral describes it as "tRNA-Asp". The record is from RNAcentral. Lineage: Eukaryota; Metazoa; Arthropoda; Insecta; Coleoptera; Scarabaeidae.